CAGCAGCCACGGUAAUACGUAGGUGGCAAGCGUUGUCCGGAAUUAUUGGGCGUAAAGGGCUCGCAGGCGGUUUCUUAAGUCUGAUGUGAAAGCCCCCGGCUCAACCGGGGAGGGUCAUUGGAAACUGGGAAACUUGAGUGCAGAAGAGGAGAGUGGAAUUCCACGCGUAGCGGUGAAAUGCAUAGAGAUGUGGAGGAACACCAGUGGCGAAGGCGACUCUCUGGUCUGUAACUGACGCUGAGGAGCGAAAGCGUGGGGAGCGAACAGGAUUAGAUACCCCGGUAGUCCCUGUCUCUUAUAC
This 301-nucleotide ribosomal RNA is filed under the name uncultured bacterium. Its description in RNAcentral is "partial 16S ribosomal RNA". It matches the Rfam family "Bacterial small subunit ribosomal RNA", at positions 509 to 807 of the family's 1533-position model. The record is from RNAcentral.